RNAcentral lists this long non-coding RNA (761 nucleotides) under Junco hyemalis (dark-eyed junco). Its description in RNAcentral is "lncRNA (ENSJHYG00000015927.1)". Lineage: Eukaryota; Metazoa; Chordata; Aves; Passeriformes; Passerellidae. The record is from RNAcentral.
GGUGGGGGAGGGGUCUCCAUCCAUGUCAUUCCCCUCCCCCACCACGCAGCUCCUCACAGACUUCGUGGGGGACGUUGGUUGGGUCAAUGGUUGGGUGUUGGGUCCAUGGUUGGUCAGUGGUUGGGUGUUGGUCAGUGGUUGGGUGUUGGUUGUUCAAUGGUUGGUCAGUGGUUGGGUGUUGGUCAAUGGUUGGGUGUUGGUCAAUGGUUGGGUGUUGGUCAAUGGUUGGGUCAAUGGUUGGGUCAAUGGUUGGUCAAUGGUUGGUCAGUAGUUGGGUGUUGGUUCAAUGGUUGGGUGUUGGUCAAUGGUUGGGUGUUGGUUGGGUCAAUGGUUGAUCAUUGAUUGAUCAUUGAUCAGUCAUUGAUCGCUCAUUGAUCCCCUAUCCCAGCGACGGUGAUGAGAAGGCCUCAGGCAGCUCAGGGCAGUGAUGGUUGGGUUAUUGAUUGGGUCAAUGGCUGGAUCAUUGAUCAAUCAUUGAUUAAUCAGCUAUUGAUCGCUCAUUGAUCACUCAUUGAUCGCUCAUUGAUCCCCUGUCCCAGCGACGGCGAGGAGAAGGCCUCGGGCAGCUCGGGGCGCUCUCUGGGCGCGGCGGGCGCGGCGCUGGGCAGCGAUGACAGCCUGGCCGGCUACGGCGGCAGCGCCGACGUGCAGUUCAACGAGGACGGCUCCUUCAUCGGGCAGUACAGCGGCACCCGCGGCACGGCCGCCGGCAGCUCCGGCCCCGCCAGCCCCUCGGCCGCCGCCCCCCUCGACUGAGGGAC